AUCAGAGACUUUAUUUUGUGCUGCAAAUCCGAACGAUUCUUAGGGAUUUUGAGUUAUCGAAAUUUUUCAAAUAAUUCAUCAUCUUGAAUUGAACAUAAUAUCGCCAAUUUAUCGAUUUAUGAUGUUAAAAAUUGAAGAUAUAUCGACUGGCUUCAUCACUCGCUAAACUUGAACGUCGUUUCCGUGUUCGUUGCUCAUUCCAACGUUCAAAUAACAUCACGGAAUGAUUGUCCCUUAUUGUCAGACGCAACUCCUGUCGCAAGGAAACUUCAUUGCAAUUCGGUAUUCGGUCGUCAGAGCAUCACGUACGUAGAUCCUCUUCUUCCGAAGCAACGGCAGUAUAGCCGUAGCAGCCGAAGCGUCGUCACACGUUGUCAGGUGCGACAUCGAUGGUAGCGCGUAUAUCCUUGAAAAAGCAAAAAAAAAAAGCAUCGAGGUGGGAGAAUGGGAAAUAAAUACAUUGCGGUGAAUUUUAGUACGCAGUUAGUGCUGAGCCAUAGUUCAUCAGUUGUCGAAGUUUUUCCGGUCGCGAUCUGGAAAUACCCAAAUUCAUAUUUUUCGCCUUGGAAUUUGGAUACAACGGCAGUUCAGCUUCAGCGACAGAAGCGGCGACAUCAGGAGCGACAUCAGUAGCAACGCAGUUUCCUCAGAGCGACGAUGGCGAGAGGAAACGGUCGCAGUUCCUCCAACAUCAUUGACCGGACUCCCCCUGUUCAUCAGGGGGAGUCCACCGUCCCCUGGGACUGCGCGGCCUCCCACCGCCCCCGGGGUCCCAGGGGACCCGGUCCCCGAGGACAUGUCUUCGGGGAUGCGGUAUCC
Athalia rosae (coleseed sawfly) is the source of this 819-nucleotide long non-coding RNA. RefSeq lists it as uncharacterized. The record is from RefSeq and is a predicted model, not a curated record. Lineage: Eukaryota; Metazoa; Arthropoda; Insecta; Hymenoptera; Athaliidae. The transcript has 3 exons.